UGGGGAAUUUUGGACAAUGGGCGAAAGCCUGAUCCAGCAAUGCCGCGUGUGUGAAGAAGGCCUUCGGGUUGUAAAGCACUUUUGUCCGGAAAGAAAUCCUUGGCUCUAAUACAGUCGGGGGAUGACGGUACCGGAAGAAUAAGCACCGGCUAACUACGUGCCAGCAGCCGCGGUAAUACGUAGGGUGCAAGCGUUAAUCGGAAUUACUGGGCGUAAAGCGUGCGCAGGCGGUUUGCUAAGACCGAUGUGAAAUCCCCGGGCUCAACCUGGGAACUGCAUUGGUGACUGGCAGGCUAGAGUAUGGCAGAGGGGGGUAGAAUUUCACGUGUAGCAGUGAAAUGCGUAGAGAUGUGGAGGAAUACCGAUGGCGAAGGCAGCCCCCUGGGCCAAUACUGACGCUCAUGCACGAAAGCGUGGGGAGCAAACAGGAUUAGAUACCCUGGUAGUCCACGCCCUAAACGAUGUCAACUAGUUGUUGAGGAUUCAUUUCCUUAGUAACGUAGCUAACGCGUGAAGUUGACCGCCUGGGGAGUACGGUCGCAAGAUUAAACUCAAUGAAUUGACGGGGUCAUAGCUGUUUCCU
RNAcentral lists this ribosomal RNA (583 nucleotides) under uncultured bacterium. RNAcentral's name for it is "partial 16S ribosomal RNA". It matches the Rfam family "Bacterial small subunit ribosomal RNA", at positions 355 to 1375 of the family's 1533-position model. The record is from RNAcentral.